UUUUAGCAUGAGAUUGUUUCAGUAAUUCUGAAAUGACGAUUCAAAAGCUGUGAUAGAUAUUUAGUUAGCCUUAGAAGUGAGGUUUUGGUAUGUUGACAUUACAUGAAGCCACGAAUAAAGGCAUUCUGGUAGAUUUCUGAAUAUCAAAGCUAUUCAAAAAGCCAUCACUCAUUCUCACCAUCUGGCACUCACUUAAAUUCCUCUUCUUCUUUUCUGACAGAGCAAAAUGAUACAGCAAGACUGCCAGGAGAAAGCUAAAACUGCAGUCGAGGAGAAUGUCUAUUAGCUGGAGGGUCCCUAUCAGACAUUUAGAAAUGCUCAAGACCAUCAGGCGUUCUCUUGAGCUUUUACAUGGCACAGAGAGCUGGCUGUAUGAAGAGUGAGCAGACGUACAUUAACAAGCUGGAAGAAAUACACAGCCUGGGUAAGCCUGUCCAAAACAGAUACCAGGAGUCCAUACGGAGAAUUAAAUGUUUGAGGAGCUGUCAGCCAAAAUAAAAAGCUACAUGAUUAUUAUGGAGGGGUGUAAGAAUGGAGUAAGAAUAAGUUUUCUCUCUCAUUUUCUUCAUCAUAUAUCACGUCUUAUUUGGAACAAUCAUGCUCUGCAAGGCUCUUUACAGCACAGGGAGGCAUUGUUUUAUACAUUAUAAUGGAUCUCAUGCAGUUACACAGUCAGAUUUCAGCCAUCAGUCUCUUACAACUGACUAUAAAUAGUGUCUGCUUUUACAUUUAUUCAUUAAGCAUAAGCUUUUAUCCAAAGCGCCUUAUAAAUGAGGAAUGCAACAACACAGUAAUUCAUCCUAAGGAGACUGUAAUAUCAGAAGUGCUGCAAUACUUUCUUUUAAAUUCCUAAACUGACUAAAAAUUGUAUUCUCAUAAAUGGUUGUAUGGUCUCAUAAAUUGUGUUGUAUUUAAUGGAAUACUAUACUUAAUGUAAAGAAUUUAUUGUCAGUAACUAGGUAUGCACAUAAUGGUUAUGUAUCAUUUAAUUGUACAUGCUCAUUUACUUUAUUUUUACAUGUAUAUUUUUACCUUGCUGUAAUCUAUGUUCACCAGGGUUAUUAAGUAGAAAAGAAAAAAAAUCCCUUCUUGAAAUAAAAUAAAUAUUAGCUGAAAAAAAAAAAAAAUACUAACACAUCACUGUGAAAAACCAUGUUAUACUUUCGUAAUGCAUUUAAGUAUACUGUUUAUAUAGAUACGUUUUAAUAUAUAUUGCAAACUUUUUCUCUCAGUGUGACAGUUACUGUCAUAUCAAUGCCGUGGACAUGGACAAGGUCAGAGUGUGUGUUGAAGAUUCACAAGUGUGGAUGACAAAUGCACACUUGAUCAGUAACCUGCCAUACACAGCGCUCAGAUGAAGCAGAAAUUACAGGUGAAGAAAGACUAAAAGCUUCACAAACACAUAUCACGGUGGGAGACACAUCUCAGAAUAACCUUAUUUGUAAUCACCAUUGAUUUCUAUGUCCGAGCAGCCACAGGGGGGUGGUGUUAGCUGUCUAUGUCAUCACUCAACUUUGAAAUGCUUUUAAAAAAAAGUUUUUUUUUUUUUUUUUUUUUUACUGUGAUACAUUUCUCUCUUUCGUAAUCCAGUUCUAAAUAUAUUUAAGCAUCUGUAAAAUUAAUUAUCGAUUGAUUGCCAUUUAAUUUACAGAUUUUAGUUUAUAUUUUAUUUUUUUAAUCACACACCAGGAUUUUUUAAUUAAUUAAUUUAGAAAG
Long non-coding RNA from Carassius gibelio (silver crucian carp), 1716 nucleotides. RefSeq lists it as uncharacterized. Lineage: Eukaryota; Metazoa; Chordata; Actinopteri; Cypriniformes; Cyprinidae. The record is from RefSeq and is a predicted model, not a curated record. The transcript has 3 exons.